UACGUAGGUGGCGAGCGUUGUCCGGAUUUACUGGGCGUAAAGGGAGCGUAGGCGGACUUUUAAGCGAGAUGUGAAAUACUCGGGCUCAACUUGAGUGCUGCAUUUCAAACUGGAAGUCUAGAGUGCAGGAGAGGAGAAUGGAAUUCCUAGUGUAGCGGUGAAAUGCGUAGAGAUUAGGAAGAACACCAGUGGCGAAGGCGAUUCUCUGGACUGUAACUGACGCUGAGGCUCGAAAGCGUGGGGAGCAAACAGG
RNAcentral lists this ribosomal RNA (253 nucleotides) under uncultured bacterium. RNAcentral describes it as "partial 16S ribosomal RNA". It matches the Rfam family "Bacterial small subunit ribosomal RNA", at positions 524 to 776 of the family's 1533-position model. The record is from RNAcentral.